This 228-nucleotide unclassified non-coding RNA is filed under the name Hevea brasiliensis (rubber tree). Lineage: Eukaryota; Viridiplantae; Streptophyta; Magnoliopsida; Malpighiales; Euphorbiaceae. The record is from RNAcentral.
GGAAGAGGCCUGUUUAUGAGUGCACAGUUAUUCAGGUUGAAGCUGCAAAGUCUUUCCUGGGAGUGUUGCGGUCGUACCUGGAUUCGCUUUGCUCGAACCUUCGUUCACACACAAUUACUAAUGUCCAAUCAAAUGAUGAUAAGGUAUCUCUGCUCUUGAAGGAAAGCUUUAUCGAGUCUUUCCCUAGUCGAGAUCGGCCCUUUAUGAAGCUUUUCCUGGACACACAGC